UGAAAAUUGUGUUGGUAAUGAAAAAUGUUAACUGCUGCUCAUAUAAAUGAAAAAAAAAAAAGACACUUUGUAUUUUGCAAUGUGUCAUAUAGGAGAAAAUGUUCUUACAUUAAGCAUUCGCUGAUAAGUAGGCAUGUACUGCCUUUCUUCUGAUAACAGGUUUUCCUCAAAUGCUGAUUCAGGUUUGCUAAGUCUUUAGCGCAGCGCUGCAGGCAAUGAAAUUACUUUGUCUUAUAACAAAUUAUUCAGAAACUUUGUAUUAGAUGGAGGACAGCCAAGUCUCUACUCUGGGCUACAAAUAAUCCAGACAGAAGCAGUAGUCGUAUGAGCCUUUCAUAUAUUACAGCUGCCAGGAAAUCAAAUACCUUUUCUUAGCAUUAAUGUCUGACUACAAGAAACUUCUCUGUGCGACACCAGAGGUGCAUUUUGGUGCUGGGAACACCCAGGCCUACGUGGGACACAGGAGAGUCUUCCUGCAGCCCCUGGUGAAGGCGCUGUCUUGCUCUCCUCCUGGUUCGGGUGCAGCAGGAAACACUGAGAUGCUGCAGUGCUAACCAUCUUCAUACAGUCUGUCCUUGUGCUUCAAGGCACCGUUGGGAGCCCAAGGUUUGUGUACGCUGAUUUAUUCGGUCAUAUUGCUAACGAACGCGCUGCCCACCAGGAGAAGACAUUUUAUACGGUGUUUUCAAGCAGCCGCAUCCGAGCUGCGUUGGGAAGGUGAGGCUAGAAUACAAAGUAGUUUAAGGAAAGCGUGGUAAAAAGACGCUGGUAGUCUGUCAAAUGACUUCAUAAAAAUGACAGAAAGUAUUACCGGAGGAGUAAGUUAAAAAGUAUCAUUUAUUUUUAAUGGGCACAACUGUUUACUGUGCAAAAUCAGAACUUAAUGAACAUAUCUGAAGGAAUUCCUGUCUUGUUCUCAAAUUAAGGAACCGUGCACGUUAAAACACUAGUUGAAGUUUUUCAUUAGCAUACAUGGAUGUGAAGCGGUUGUUCAUUAUUCAUGAAAUAACACACGAUUUUCUGUAUGUAUAAUGUUAGGUGAGUCCUGUCUUCUCACCGAAGCAGCUCCUCAAAUACUUCUGAACUGUUGAGCAGAUUUUCAAGCAAGCCUUGAACCCAAACUCCUUACAUCCAUGUUACGACACCUCUCUUGGCAAACCUGGAUAUCUAGUUAGGAAACCUGCUGCUUGCUUGGGUUUUGUGUUAGGUAGCCUUAAACUUCAGAAUUCUUUGCAGUUUUCUCGGGCUCAGUUUUCAGUUUUAUGGCUUCUUGCUUUCAACUUGUGACUCUUUCCCCGAUUUCUUGAUGAUGGAGUUGUGCCACGUCAUUAACUGAGAUGUUUGGGUGUAAGUGCUUGACAUGAUGGAUUUUAUUAUGGUGCUGUUGCAGCCGUGUUGCAGUGGCUGUUUUUAAAAUGUUAUUGACACUCUAAAACAUUAUUUUAAAUAUAAUCGUGCACUGGGAGAACAUCAGUGAAUGGCAGUGUAGGUGAAGAUGAUUUCUGAAGCAGUAAUCCCACAGCCAGUUGGUCUCUCCAAGUAUCUCUUUGGUUGAGCACGUGCACUCUUUUAUUUUGAGCCAUUAACUUUGUAGGAAGGAUUUACUGUUGGAAAUAGAGGAUAAUUUCACAGCUGCUAAUUAAUUCCCAUAUCUGAAGAAAUCACAUGGGUAGAGCUUUACAUGGGAAAUGUUUGUCGUUUUGUCAGAUUUACCUAACUGAAUUUUUGUGGCAGUCAGGCAUCAGACAUUGCAGCUACCUGGGUCUGUUUGUUUGAAGUGGUUCACGCACUGUUUCCCCCUUUGUGUGCUUCGAAAAAUAAAAUAAAAAUAAAACUGAAAAAUUAGUGUCA
Molecule: long non-coding RNA, 1851 nt
Filed under: Anas platyrhynchos platyrhynchos (common mallard)
Lineage: Eukaryota; Metazoa; Chordata; Aves; Anseriformes; Anatidae
Description: lncRNA (ENSAPLG00000018844.1)
Source: RNAcentral